UAAUACGGAGGGUGCGAGCGUUAAUCGGAAUUACUGGGCGUAAAGCGCAUGCAGGUGGUUCAUUAAGUCAGAUGUGAAAGCCCGGGGCUCAACCUCGGAACUGCAUUUGAAACUGGUGAACUAGAGUACUGUAGAGGGGGGUAGAAUUUCAGGUGUAGCGGUGAAAUGCGUAGAGAUCUGAAGGAAUACCAGUGGCGAAGGCGGCCCCCUGGACAGAUACUGACACUCAGAUGCGAAAGCGUGGGGAGCAAACAGGAUUAGAUACCCUGGUAGUCCACGCCGUAAACGAUGUCUACUUGGAGGUUGUGGCCUUGAGCCGUGGCUUUCGGAGCUAACGCGUUAAGUAGACCGCCUGGGGAGUACGGUCGCAAGAUUA
Molecule: ribosomal RNA, 376 nt
Filed under: uncultured Vibrio sp.
Lineage: Bacteria; Pseudomonadati; Pseudomonadota; Gammaproteobacteria; Vibrionales; Vibrionaceae
Description: bacterial SSU rRNA
Rfam family: Bacterial small subunit ribosomal RNA
Source: RNAcentral